RNAcentral lists this ribosomal RNA (254 nucleotides) under uncultured bacterium. RNAcentral's name for it is "partial 16S ribosomal RNA". It matches the Rfam family "Bacterial small subunit ribosomal RNA", at positions 524 to 776 of the family's 1533-position model. The record is from RNAcentral.
UACGGGGGGGGGCAAGCGUUGUUCGGAAUUACUGGGCGUAAAGCGCACGUAGGCGGUUAUUCAAGUCAGAGGUGAAAGCCCGGGGCUCAACCCCGGAACGGCCUUUGAAACUAGAUAGCUAGAAUCUUGGAGAGGUCAGUGGAAUUCCGAGUGUAGAGGUGAAAUUCGUAGAUAUUCGGAAGAACACCAGUGGCGAAGGCGACUGACGGGACAAGUAUUGACGCUGAGGUGCGAAAGCGUGAGGAGCAAACAGG